CGCACGGGUGAGUAACACGUAUCCAACCUGCCGUCUACUCUUGGCCAGCCUUCUGAAAGGAAGAUUAAUCCAGGAUGGCAUCAUGAGUUCACAUGUCCGCAUGAUUAAAGGUAUUUUCCGGUAGACGAUGGGGAUGCGUUCCAUUAGAUAGUAGGCGGGGUAACGACCCACCUAGUCAACGAUGGAUAGGGGUUCUGAGAGGAAGGUCCCCCACAUUGGAACUGAGACACGGUCCAA
RNAcentral lists this ribosomal RNA (237 nucleotides) under uncultured bacterium. RNAcentral describes it as "partial 16S ribosomal RNA". It matches the Rfam family "Bacterial small subunit ribosomal RNA", at positions 99 to 334 of the family's 1533-position model. The record is from RNAcentral.